UACUACCUUAUUUACAUUUACUUUACAUUUAUUCCAAAUAAAUCAUUUUCCAAAACAGAAAAUCUUUGCAACAUUCUCCUACCAAGCUGACUCAUCCAUCCGCCACACCUUUCACCAACAACACUGUACAAAUACGUCACACUUUCUCUUUUCUUCAUUCCAAUGAUUCAAUAAUCAACCAAUCAGCACUCACCAUGAUUCCAUCGUUUGUGAGCUUCUCCGGCCUAUACAGCGGCUACCUCCGUCGCUGCUUCACCGGAUCAGGUCUCUUCUCUCAAAAAAUCAACAUCGACAACGAAACAACUCUCCACGUUUGGGGACCAACAAAUCAAUCCACACAUAAACCCUCACUCGUUCUGAUUCACGGAUUCGGUCCUACAGCCAUAUGGCAGUGGCGUAAACAAGUUCAAUUUCUCGCUCCUCAUUUCAAUGUCUACGUUCCCGAUCUAAUCUUCUUCGGCGAAUCAACAACGAGAUCGAAGGAAAGGAGCGAGAAAUUCCAAGCGGAGUCGGUUGGGAAAUUGUUGGAGAAAUUAGGGUUGAAGAAGUGCCACGUGGCGGGGACGAGUUAUGGCGGUAUUGUUGCUUAUAAUUUGGCGAAAAUGUUGGGGGAAGAGAGAAUAGAGAAAGUGGUUAUUUGUAGCUCUGGUGUUAAUAUGACGAAGAAUCAUAACGUCAAGUUGUUGGAAAGAGCUGGAGUGGAGAAAAUUGAGGACCUUAUGUUGCCUACUUCUCCGCAAAAUUUGAGGAAAUUGAUGACACUUGCCGUGGCUAAAAGCAUCUCUUUCAUGCCUGAUUUUCUCUUGAAAGACUUCUUAAAGGUGCAUAUCAUUCCAAUAUCAAAGAACUUUUUGGAAGGAGCAUAUUGUUCCAAUAUCAAAGACCUUUUGAAGGAAUUGUCCGAGUUUCACCCAAAUCAUCAGUGUGACUUCAAGAAGAAAAAAUGCCCCAUAAAUUUUGACUUUGUUGUUUGGAUUAAGUAAGUCUUUUAAUCAAAUUCGAUGUCAAAUUUUGCUCAUGGUUCCAUUACCUUCAAUUAGCCGUGUUUUUUCACUUGUGAUUUAAAAAGAAAAAAAAAAACACACCAUAAAUUGUGUACCUAGUGAUGCUAUUGGCUUCACUUUAGCUCAUGUUGCUAAUGAUGUUAAUUCCAUGCCGAAAUUGGGAAAAAGAUAUUGUCAUGUAUGUUCUCAUUGUGGUAUUCUUUGUCACAUUAAAGAUAAGUGCUAUAAAGUGAAUGGAUAUACUCUGAAUGAUGGGAGAAACUUGUUCUUGAUCUAUCAGUGUGUGGAUUUGAAUAUUUUUGAAAAGAUUAUCGAGCAAGAAACGACCAAGGAGACGUGGGAUACUCUCGAGAAGCUAUAUAGUGGAGAUGAAAAUAUAUAGAAAGUGAAGUUGCAAUUUUUGAUGAAGCAAUAUGAAAACUUGCUGAUGAAACCAUUGCCAAGUUCUUCUCAAAGAUGAUCGAUUUGACAAAUGAGAUGAAGUCACGUGGAGAAAAGACCUCCGAAUUGCAGAAAGUGGAGAAGGUGUUGAGGGCUCUACUAGUCAAGUUUGAUCUCAUUAUGGUGGCAAUUGACGAGUCUAAAGACUUGUCAGAGAUGAAGCUUGAAGAACUGCAAGCAUCUCUUGAGGCGCAUGAGAUGAGGCUGAAGCAAAGUUCUUCAAGAAUAUUAAAGAAAAUUCCCCAAGCAAUAACAAAGUAAAAGCAAAAUGGAAGAGGAAGUUGAAUGAGAAUGUUAAUGCUGGUAAGGCUUCUAGAAGCCAAGGUGAAACUAGCAAGAAUGGUGCAAAUCAAAAUCAAAAUGUCAAGAAGAAGGUUGACAUAAAGGAGGUUCAAUGUUAUUUUGUUAUAAGUUUGGUCAUUAUGCUAGAGAAUGCUAUUACAACAAGAACAAUGAUGAGGACAAGGUUGUGGCUCAUUUUGUUCGUGAGGGUAACAGUGAAUCUGAAGAUGUUAUCUUGAUGGCUGCAACACAUUUAGCUUAGAGAAAGCAGAUAUGUGGUACCUUGAUAAAGGUUGCAGCAAUCAUAUGACAAUCAACAACUGGUUUGUCAAGUUGGAUGAAUCAGUUAGAAGAUCAAUUUUUUUUGUAGACAACAUCAUGAUGACAUCAGAAGGAAUGAGCAACAUCAGGGUGAAAAAAAGGAUGGACAUGAAGCUAUCAUCAACGAUGUCUUAUAUGUUCCUUAAAUGGCAAGUUAUUUGAUCAGCUUAGGUCAAUUAGUUGACAAGAAUUACAUGAUGAAGCUGGAAGGAAGGGAACUCAAGGUGUUUUGAUGAAAUGUUUAAUUCAAUUUUGAGGGCACAUUUGUCAAUCAACAGGACAUUCAAGGUCAUGAUCAAUAUGCUAGAUCAUGAAUGUCUUGCAUCAACCAUAACUGGAGAUAAAAAUUGGGUUUGGCAUCAAAGAUUUGGCCAUCUCAAAUUUAGGAGUCUUAGCUUGAUGCACAAGAAGAAAAUGGUGUAUGGAUUUCCAAGGAUUAAAGUGCCAAAGCAGCUAUGUGAGAAACGUUGCAUAGCUAAUCAGACUAGAAAGCCAUCCAAACAUGACUUGCCAAUGAAGCCACAACGCAAGCUUGAGAUUGUGCACUCAGAUGUGUGUGGUUCAUUUGAAGUAAAUCAUUAGGAGUUAAUUGAUAUUUCUUUACCUUCAUGGAUGAAUUCACUAGGCAUUUGGGGAUUUACUUGUUGGAAAAGAAUAGUGAAGUUUUCAACAAUUUCAAGAAAUUUAAAUUGUUGGCUGAAAAGCAAGUAGGAAACACCAUCAAGAGGUUGAGAACUGAUGGCUCAAUUAGUUUGCUCAGUUUUGUGAGAAGGAAUGAAUUGAGCAUGAAGUGAUGACACCAUACACACCUCAACACAAUGACAUUGCUGAAAGGAAGAAUACAAGCAUCUUGAAUAUGGUUAGGAGUAUGCUUAAAACAAAGCAGGUGCCUAAGCACUUUAAGGGAGAAGCCACUUCAAUUGCAGUGUAUAUCGUCAACAGAUGUCCAAAAAAGAAGUCGAGCAACAAAACUCCUUAUAAAGCCUGAUUAAGAUUGAAUGCAAAUGUUGGUCAUCUCAAAAUCUUUGGCUCGCUAUGCUUUAGACAUGUUCUUGAACUACUUAGAAGAAAGUUGGAUGAUAGAAGCCAAGUUAUGCUCCUAGUUAGAUAUCAUUCACACUAAUGGAGACCAACACCAAGCUAAAAAGGGAAUCUGAAGAAGAACUGGUUGAUAGCACAUUGUAUAAGCAGAUUAUUGGAUCUUUGAGGUAUCUCUACAAUAGAAUCUUGACAUUUGUCAUAGUGUUGGAUUGGUGAGUAGACUCAUGGAAAAACUAGGGUUAUGUCAUCUACUUGCAGCAAAAAGAAUCCUAAGAUACAUCAACGGCACAUAAGAUCAUGGAUUGCUAAUACCUCAUAAAACAACCAGAAUUGGAGCAAGGAUACGUGGUUACUCAGACUUAGACUGGAGUGGUGAUCAAGAUGACAAGAAAAGCACAUAUGGCUACCUAUUUAUGCUUGGAUCAUCACCAGUUUCUUGGAUUUCAAAGAAGUAAACGAUUGUUGCUUUGUCCUCAUAUGAAGUAGAGUAUGUUGCAGCCUCUUAUGCAGCACGUCAAGCACUUUGGUUAGACAUGUUGCUUGAAGAAUUGAACAUUGGUGACUAUUGCCAAAUCAAGUUGAUUGUAAACAGUCAAUCAACCAUAGAUCUAGCAAAUCAUCCAAUGAGUUAGGGUAGAAAUAAGGAUAUAGAAAGUAGGUAUCACUUUAUUAGAUAUCAAGUUAGCAAAGCAAGGUUAACUAUUAAUCAUUGCAAAAUAGAGUUACAAUUAGCCGAUAUCUUGAUAAAACCCCUCAAGCAAGCAAGGUUUGAAGAAGUUAAUGGGAAUGAGAAGUAUGGAAAAAUCUGAAUUAGGAAAGGUAUUGUGGUUAAUUCAAUUUGCUUUAAGUUAAGUUUGUUAAGUGGUUAGUUAGGUGGUUACUAAGUUGGUUAAUCAUUGAUAUCUUAUAUAUAAGAUAUAAAACCAUAUAUAAGAUAAUAAAUGGUUACUUAGUUAGGUGGUUACUGAUUCUUAUCCAUUUUUUGUAUCAUUUUAAUGAUAAUAAAUGGAUAAGAAUCAGAGCGCAUUGCUCUGUUCUAAAUAGUUUUUUCCUUUUCUUUUUCAAGAUGAAUUCAGCUGAUCAUAAACUUGAUAGUUCUUAGUGGAGGAUAUCUGAAGAGUUUGGAAUGAAUCCAGAGAAGUUGCACUACCAAAGUGACUGCCAUGUGUAUUAUUUAUGCCACAUGUAUUAUUUACAAAAGUAAGAAAUCAUCCCUAACCACCCAACUAGCAAAACUAAACCAUCAUAAAAAAUCAAUAACAACACCUAAUAUACAAAAAUACGAAACAAAAAAAAAUCAUAAUCACCCACCCAUAAGCCUGAUAAUAAAUCCAGCAAAGCAAAGAAUGUCGCGGUAUCACGAUUAUCUUGAAUCCGUUCACAAAUAAUUGCAAAUCAACAUUUGUAACCAUUUCUUGUUUCCCGUUCCUCAAAUUGCUCUCCUCCUUCUUUUCCUUUUCUCAUCAUCAUCAUCAUCCUCCCCAUCCUUCUUUUCAACGUCAAUUAAAGAAUCUUCAACCCUUAACUCCAAACCCUAACUCCAUUAUCAACAACAAGACUAGAGAAUUCAGAAUCCAGAGCGAAUGGUCUGAAAGCAACAAUGCUACUGUUAAUGGGAACUUUAGAGUUUAAGUCGAAGAGAGUACGACCGUUAUCAUCAUUAUUGAAGAAAAAGUUGUCGUCUAGGGUUUCAAGAGAUGGAAAAAAGGAUGGUGGCAGUGGAGGAUAACAGGGAAUUGUUGAUAUUGAAGGGAACGUUGACGGUGAUGAUGAUUAACGUUGUCGGCGAGGUCAAUUCCGAAAAGGAGAGCUUUAAUGACGGGAUCGCGGUCAACGAAAGUGAUGAAUUCCGAGAAAUUAUACACAGAAAAUAGGAAGGAAAAAAUGGAGCUUCUAGGUGGCUUGUCCCUCGGAAAGAUUGAUACGUCAAACAUUUCACCUCUUCAACAGGAAGUUCUCAUAAUCUGGGGUGAAGAUGACAAAAUAUUUC
RNA transcript from Vicia villosa (hairy vetch), 5079 nucleotides. RefSeq lists it as uncharacterized. The transcript is spliced from 4 exons. The record is from RefSeq and is a predicted model, not a curated record. NCBI's taxonomy places the organism in Eukaryota, Viridiplantae, Streptophyta, Magnoliopsida, Fabales, Fabaceae.